This 510-nucleotide ribosomal RNA is filed under the name Aureobasidium pullulans. RNAcentral describes it as "eukaryotic LSU rRNA". The stretch from base 192 to 345 matches the Rfam family "5.8S ribosomal RNA". Lineage: Eukaryota; Fungi; Ascomycota; Dothideomycetes; Dothideales; Saccotheciaceae. The record is from RNAcentral.
AAGGAUCAUUAAAGAGUAAGGGUGCUCAGCGCCCGACCUCCAACCCUUUGUUGUUAAAACUACCUUGUUGCUUUGGCGGGACCGCUCGGUCUCGAGCCGCUGGGGAUUCGUCCCAGGCGAGCGCCCGCCAGAGUUAAACCAAACUCUUGUUAUUAAACCGGUCGUCUGAGUUAAAAUUUUGAAUAAAUCAAAACUUUCAACAACGGAUCUCUUGGUUCUCGCAUCGAUGAAGAACGCAGCGAAAUGCGAUAAGUAAUGUGAAUUGCAGAAUUCAGUGAAUCAUCGAAUCUUUGAACGCACAUUGCGCCCCUUGGUAUUCCGAGGGGCAUGCCUGUUCGAGCGUCAUUACACCACUCAAGCUAUGCUUGGUAUUGGGUGCCGUCCUUAGUUGGGCGCGCCUUAAAGACCUCGGCGAGGCCUCACCGGCUUUAGGCGUAGUAGAAUUUAUUCGAACGUCUGUCAAAGGAGAGGACUUCUGCCGACUGAAACCUUUAUUUUUCUAGGUUGACC